This 497-nucleotide ribosomal RNA is filed under the name uncultured bacterium. RNAcentral describes it as "partial 16S ribosomal RNA". It matches the Rfam family "Bacterial small subunit ribosomal RNA", at positions 28 to 507 of the family's 1533-position model. The record is from RNAcentral.
GAUGAACGCUGGCGGCGUGCCUAAUACAUGCAAGUCGAGCGAACGGACGAGAAGCUUGCUUCUCUGAUGUUAGCGGCGGACGGGUGAGUAACACGUGGAUAACCUACCUAUAAGACUGGGAUAACUUCGGGAAACCGUAGCUAAUACCGGAUAAUAUUUUGAACCGCAUGGUUCAAAAGUGAAAGACGGUCUUGCUGUCACUUAUAGAUGGUUCCGCGCUGCAUUAGCUAGUUGGUAAGGUAACGGCUUACCAAGGCAACGAUGCAUAGCCGACCUGAGAGGGUGAUCGGCCACACUGGAACUGAGACACGGUCCAGACUCCUACGGGAGGCAGCAGUGGGGAAUCUUCCGCAAUGGGCGAAAGCCUGACGGAGCAACGCCGCGUGAGUGAUGAAGGUCUUCGGAUCGUAAAACUCUGUUAUUAGGGAAGAACAUAUGUGUAAGUAACUGUGCACAUCUUGACGGUACCUAAUCAGAAAGCCACGGCUAACUACGUG